Molecule: non-coding RNA, 623 nt
Organism: Malus domestica (apple)
Lineage: Eukaryota; Viridiplantae; Streptophyta; Magnoliopsida; Rosales; Rosaceae
Source: RefSeq, a predicted model, not a curated record
UUUUUUUUGCUGUUUUAAUUUAUUUGGGAUUUUUUUUAGUCCACUAGAUUCUUCUAUUGCUACUCAAUUCCGAGAUUUGAUCAUGCUUUUUUGAAUCGCAUCAUAAAGAGGUGAUGAGGCUUUCAACCCAUUUACAAAGGAUCCUAAUGCCAUUGGGUGUUUGAGUGGUAUUUUCGUUUCUAUUGUCUGUCUAUUUUUAUCAUAUAUUCUUUUGUGUGAUUAUUUUGGAAUAUUUUGUAUGUUGUCACCGGAUCCAGCAUAACAAGGUUUGUCACACUCAAAAUUGCAGGCUACCACACAGGAAUAAGAACUCAUGAAGAGAACAAGGGCUUUAAAUUUCUAAAUCCGUACGAUUUUGGUUGGAACGCAAAGCAAGCAUGCAUGGACAAUCAUCGAUAGGUUUUGAUUAUGAUUUAAUUCUUUAUUGCUUUUGGCUAAUUUUGUGUUUUAAAUGAUUUAGCUAAUUGUGUUUAGAGAUAUUAUUUCUCUCUAUUUUUUAUAGCUAAUUGUUUACAUGUAUUAUUUCUCUAUGUUUUAUGUACUUUUGAUAUUCAUACUGUUCUCAAACACAACAUCAAAAAAGAAAUGAGUAGUUUUGCGAGGAGAUGAUAGAAUUCAAAGAA